CAUGUCCUUUUGAUUAUAAUUUAAGGUCUAAUCUGCUCAAUGAUUAUUUAAAUAGCCGCAGUAUUUUAACUGUGCAAAGGUAGCAUAAUAAUUAGUUUCUUAAUUAGGGGCUUGUAUGAAUGAUUGGACGAGAAAAUUUCUGUCUCCUUUUAAUUAAUUUUUGAAUUUUAUUUUUAAGUUAAAAAGCUUAAAUUUUUAUAAAAGACGAGAAGACCCUAUAGAGUUUUAUACUUCUAAUUUAUUGAUGUUUAGAAAUUUCUUUAUUUUUUAUGUAUUUAGUUGGGGUGACUUGGAGAUAAAAUUAAUUCUUCAAAUAUUUAAUUGAUGAUUUUUAAAUUAAAAAUCUAGCUUUUAAAUUUAAAAUUAAUUACCUUAGGGAUAACAGCGUAAUUUUUCUUUAAAGCUCUUAUUGAAAGGAAAUUUUGCGACCUCGAUGUUGGAUUAAAAUUAAUUUUUGGUGCAGUAACUUAAAAAUUAGGUCUGUUCGACCUUUAAAAUUUUACAUGAUCUGAGUUUAAACCGGCGUAAGCCAGGUUGGAUUCUAUCUUUAGAAUUUUUUUAUAUUUUAGUACGAAAGGACCAAAUAUAUACCAUAUAUUGGUUGUUACUUUGGCAGAUUAGUGUAUUUGAUUUAGAAUCAUUUUAAGUAAGUUUUUACAGGUAAUAUUUGUUUAUUUUUGAUAUAUUUUUGGCUUUAGUUUGUAUGAUUGUUUUUGUUUUAUUUAUUUUAGUUGGAGUAGCUUUUUUUACUCUUCUAG
RNAcentral lists this ribosomal RNA (758 nucleotides) under Ponyalis alternata. RNAcentral describes it as "partial 16S ribosomal RNA". The stretch from base 1 to 572 matches the Rfam family "Bacterial large subunit ribosomal RNA", at positions 1816 to 2925 of the family's 2925-position model. Lineage: Eukaryota; Metazoa; Arthropoda; Insecta; Coleoptera; Lycidae. The record is from RNAcentral.